Molecule: non-coding RNA, 74 nt
Organism: Candidatus Accumulibacter phosphatis
Lineage: Bacteria; Pseudomonadati; Pseudomonadota; Betaproteobacteria
Source: Rfam
GCGCCCGUAGCUCAACCGGAUAGAGCACCGGCCUUCUAAGCCGGGGGUCGUGAGUUCGAGUCUCGCCGGGCGCG